UGAAGACUCGGGGUGGAGCUGAUGUUGU
This 28-nucleotide non-coding RNA is filed under the name Homo sapiens (human). The record is from RNAcentral. Lineage: Eukaryota; Metazoa; Chordata; Mammalia; Primates; Hominidae.